RNAcentral lists this ribosomal RNA (684 nucleotides) under uncultured bacterium. RNAcentral describes it as "bacterial SSU rRNA". It matches the Rfam family "Bacterial small subunit ribosomal RNA", at positions 952 to 1515 of the family's 1533-position model. The record is from RNAcentral.
ACUAGCUAGCGUAUCCAUCACUAGCUAGUCAUGAGUCGACCUAACAUGUAGAGCAAGACGCCCUGCCCGCAGAAUCCGGAGGUGGAUCCCUCGGAUCCACACAAGCCCCGGGGAGAGCGAGGAUAUAUAAAGUGCGGCCCCCCAGUGUGAUUUGUUUAUUCACCACGGAAACCUACCGGGCUGCAUGAUGAAGCAUGAACAGUCCCUUGAGCAGAAACAGUGUGCAUGCGUCGUCAGCUCGUGCUGAGUGUGGUAAGUCCGCAACGAGCACAACCCUGUCUUAGUAGCAGCACGUAGAGGUGGCACUCUAGGGAGACUGCCGGAGACAAUCCGGAGGAAGGUGGGGAUGACGUCAAAUCAUCAUGCCCCUUAUGAUUUGGGCUACACACGUGCUACAAUGGCGUAAACAGAGGGAGGCAGAGCCGCGAGGGGCGAGCAAAUCCCAAAAAUAACGUAUCAGUUCGGAUUGUAGUCUGCAACUCGACUACAUGAAGCUGGAAUCGCUAGUAAUCGCGAAUCAGAAUGACGCGGUGAAUACGUUCCCGGGUCUUGUACACACCGCCCGUCACACCAUGGGAGUCGGUAACGCCCGAAGUGCGUGACUCAACCGCAAGGAGAGAGCGCCCGAAGGCGGGACUGAUAACUGGGGUGAAGUCGUAACAAGGUAGCCGUAUCGGAAGGUGC